CUGCGCCUUGGUGAGCGAGCGGCCGCGGGACAGGCGGUACACCGUGUGAAGCAUGGAGUCCACCAUGAUGGCGCGGUGCUCGGUCCCCGCGAAGAGCGGCGCACACUUGGUGAUGAGCGGCAGCACCGCCAGGCACAGGAUUGACUAGCCUAAGACCAUCCACAUCACGAGAGCUCCGUCAGUGUCGUCAAGUGCCCAACUGAAGAGGUUCGAGGUCGCCCAGGCGUGCCCCUCCCUGUCCCUGGACCUCCAGCUCUCACAUGCAUCUCCGGCGCACAGCGUCCCAGCAGGUCGAUCAAGGCAGCGUAGAAGGACAUGAUGGCGUGUCCCAGGUGCACCCGGCUCUCCUCGGGGGGCUCCUCCCCAAAGCUGCAGAAGGAGGGGGGUGGCGUGUGGGGGAGGCAGCAAGGGGCACGGGGAAGUUGGGCUCUGCCGCUGAGAAGGGGGUGGGAGACUCACUGCUCACGCCGCCGGUCCCUGCGGACGCCCGGGCCAUCCCGCGCCGGGUCCUCAGAGAUGCGAAUGGCCUCUUCGAUGGCGGCCAGCAGCCCCGAGCCGCCCUCACCCCUCAGAGCAGGCCCGAAGCACUCGGGCUUGCGGAUGAGCAGCCGCACCACCACGUUGGCGUUCUCCUCCACACUCUCACCUGGUGGCUCCGGCGGGUCCGGAGGCCUCAUGAGCCGCUGCCCCGGGGACCCUGCCCCGGCAGCCCAGGACCCAGCACCUCAAGGGUUAACCCCGGGCCCCCACUGGCCUCUGGACCCUGCCCCAGCCCGCCUGGAGGAAUCCCUGCCGAGCCAGGACGGGGACCACACCCUGAGGGAGGCUGGCUGCGUCGGGGACCCCGGCCUCCUGUCCCGCCGCCACCGGCCUCCUGUCCCGCCGCCACCGCCAACUCCUGACUCACCGUUGACGAAGACGGCGAAGCGCAAAAAGUCCAGGUAGCGCUCACCGCCAAUAGGGUUCCAGCCGAUGUCUGGGUACCCUUUGGCCAGGAGCAUGGGGCAGCUUUGAAGGCCACAACCCGCCAGGUAGGACACGACCUGGGAGUGGAGACGGGCUCAGACCGAGGCCAGACCCGCACCACCUCCUCCCCAAGGCUCACUUCCCUGCCCAUCGCUUGAGCUCUGCGACCUCAUUCACCUCUGGAUCUCUCCACGAACGAUAAUCCUCACCCUGAGCCUUCACCUCCCACCUGGACCGUCACGUGGUCUCCUUCCUGGGUUCCCUGCUCCCCCAGUCUAUCCCACGCACAGAAGGACCCUGCAAACAGCCUGAGUCAGGCCACGUCCCUUCCCUGCUUGGAACCCUCCUGUGGCGCCAUCUCGCUCCAGGUAAAAUGCAGAGGCCCCCUGCACAAGACCCUCUGCACAAUCUUCCCUGUCACCUCCCUGCCCUCACUUCCCACCCCUAACCCCUCACUCCCCCUGCUCUAACCAAACUGGUCUCAAACUCAUGAAGCUCACGUCUGCCUCGGGGUCUUUGCACUGGCCGUUCCCCUGCCUGGAAUGCUCUUCCCCUGAUGUCCGCAUGGCCCCUCUCCUCCUUCAGAGCUUCACUUGAAAGUCACUUUCUCAGUGAGGCAUUCUCUGAUCACACUUGUCUAAACUUGGACACCCUCCUGACACUUGAUGUUUCUUUCCCCUGCUCACUUUUUUCAUCCUUAACACUCGUCACUAGCUAAUACACUAUAUGUUUUGCUUAUUUGUCUUGUUUACUAUUCAUCUUCCCACCUAGAACGUCAGCUUCAUGAGGACAAGAAUUUUUGAUUGUCUCAAUCACUGUAGUACCCCUGCUGCCUUGGUCAGAUCUGGCACGUAGUAGGUGCUCAGUAAAUGUUUGUUGAACGAGUAAUACUAUACGAGCAGAUAACUCUUGUUGAGUGCUUACUGUUUUAUCAGUGGUUUCAUGGACUAACCCAUUCUGUGCUCGGAAUAACCCUAUUGGAUUAUUAUAUUCAUUCUACAGACGAGGAGGCAGGGGCCUGGAGAAUUUAAGUCACUUGUCCAAGGCCACACAGCAAGGGAGCAAGGGGAGUUAUUGUAAGGUGCCGAACUCUAGAGCCCAUGCCCUUCAUUGCUACACACAGUAGUGCGGGGGGGGGGGGGGAGGCAAGGAAUGUGCCAAGGUCAUGCAGCUGCGGGAGGGUGAAGCGUGGGUUUGCACUUGGCCCUGUGAUGAGUGACGGCCCUUGCUCUUUCCCUGCAAAUUAUUCCCCCUCUGAUUCAAUCCCGGACCGUCCCAUAGACUGACAGGUGCCCCAAGGGGCCAGGUGGAGUCCAGGCCUCCUCCUCCCACACCUUCUCCAGGUCCUGCUCCUGCAAUGCCAAGGCCAGCUCAUUGUUGUCGAUGACAGAGGCAGCUGCCACGUCCAGAGGCGUGGAGCCCUGCAUGCCUGUGAGGGCGAGAGGCAGAGAGAGUGCUCUUCAGAGCAGAUAGCUCAGGUGGUCGAACAUGGAGCGCUGGUUCUGCCGGCUGAUGCGACAGAAGUAGCAGAGGAAGCGGCAGCAGCUUGUGACCAUCUUGGGGAAGCGGAUCUCCUGGGGCGGGCAGAGCGGGCCGCUGGUCAGUGCCUCCCCCCGUGGCCCCCUGCCCUGAGCUCCUCGGCCCACACAGGCCCCUUACCUUGGAUUCGCCACCACCGAGGACAUUCACCAUGACCUCCAUGACUGUCUCGUGCAUGCCCAGUGCCCGCAUCAGGUUCGGGUGUUGGUAGAAGACUUUGUUGUUCAUGAUGUUCCUGUGAAUAGGUAGAGUACGGUGGCGUUUCCAGGGGCCGGGUGCGACCCAAGUCCAGGGAGAGCCCCCAGAGCCUUCACCGUCCCCCUUCACAGAUCCCAACCCAUUCAAUCUUUACGUCUACUCUGGAUGGCAGGAAUGAAAUUACCCCGAUUGUACAGAUAAGGAAACUGAGGCAUGGAUCCAAGGUGGGCUCCCCUAGAGCAGAGACCCUUGCCAUGUUGCAUGUCGUAUCCCCAGAUGCCUAGAAAGGGCCUGGCACAAAGUAGGUGCUCAAUAAACGCUUGCUGAGUGAAUGAAUGAGGCA
Long non-coding RNA from Felis catus (domestic cat), 3046 nucleotides. RefSeq lists it as uncharacterized. The record is from RefSeq and is a predicted model, not a curated record. Lineage: Eukaryota; Metazoa; Chordata; Mammalia; Carnivora; Felidae. The transcript is spliced from 3 exons.